CCCGAAUCAAACCCGGGACCCUUUGGUCCACAGGCUCUAUCCACUGAGCCAAACUGGCUAGAGCCAUACAGUCAAGUUUUUGAGCCUGUUAAUGGUUAGGAAAGGCACAGAAGGCAGCCAUGAUUGAAAGGGAAAACUAAGAUCUACCCACCUUAUAACUUCCUAAAGUUGUACCAUAUCAUUAGUGUAUAACUUAAUAAAAAUACAGGAUCUUAACAAGUUACAGAUGAGAAACCAAGGCUUAAGAUGAAGUGGCUACUAGUUGAUAAAUCUGGUACUAGAAGCUCUGUCUCCUGUGUCUAUCCUAAUACUCUUGAUUAUCAUGAACCUGAGUCACCAAGAUUCCGUUCAAUGCCCAUGUUUUGUUUGUUGAAACAGAAGUAAGUACAUUGCACUUUGAUAGUUUUUAUUUUUACAUUAGAAGUGUCAGCGGAGUAAAAACAUCAGUUCUUGUCUUAUAAACAAUGGCUCCCAAAUGUAGGGGAUGCUUGCUUCAGAAGUCUUUUCACUAAGAGGCUGCCUAGUUUGGAAAUGAAAGACAGGAGUAGGAAGAGAGAAUCAAGAGUUGUCCAGCAGCCCUGGCCAGUGUUGCUCACUUGGUUGAACAUUGUCCCAUGCACCGAGAGGUUCCCAAUUGGAACACAUGCCUUGGUUUCAGACUCGAUGCCCAAUGUGGGAGUCAACAGAUUGAGAUUUGUCUCUCCAUGUUUCUCUCCCUCUCCCUUAUCUCUCUCUCUCUCUCUCUCUCUCUCUCUCUCUCUCUCUCUCACACACACACACCAAACAGCUGCUCCUAAUUUUGGAAUAAGCAUAGCUUUUCAAGAUGAUUUUUUAAAAAGAAACAGUGUUCACCUGAGUAUGUAACUUCUAAUAAGUUUGUUAGUGUAAUUUCUAUAUCAGUUAUACUGCAUGAAUGCAAAUGUUAAUUAUAUCUUUGAUUAAUGUUAUUCCAAUAACUCAACCAUGGCAAGAAUCCUUGAAUUGGGUGUACCGUGCAAAGUUGAUAUCUAGUUGCAGAGGUAACACAGUUGUGAUGUGAUACGUGUGAUGUGAUGAAAUGAAAGCCAGAGGCAUUACUCUUGGGAUGUGGCCUUUUGCAGAGAAGCAGUAAAAGAAUGUUUACAGCUUUGGUAUAGGCUAUAGGAUUCUGAAAGUUUGAGAGUUAACCAUCAAGAGUUUGUCUGAAGGUGCUUUUAUGGUUUCAUUAUUGCUACUGACUUCAAAUAUGGCCAUAUUUAUUUACCAAAGUGUUUUAAUUCCUCUUUAAAUACAAAAGGACCAUUGAAAAUGUCUGGGUGGAAUUUUACAAACAGAAGGAAUUCUUCAGACAAGGCUCAAGUCCAAGCCUUAAUCCAGUCUGGCCUCAGAUACCAGUCCUUAGAUGUUCCUUUAUCAAAGUAGGUUACAAUAGGCACUUAUUCACUGUAAAUAAACUAGAGGCUAAGUGAGUGAGGGGAGUUAGAAAAUAGCAAGAUAAGCAAUCCUCCUUCAGAAAGGAUCCAGUUAUCCUGAAGCCAGCGUCUCCUGUAAUUUUGUAGCAGACUUUUUUAUGUGUCAUUCCUUGGCUUUAUCUGUGGUCAUGAAUCUCAUUACCUGCUAUCCUAUGGGACCAAGAUAAUGCAACUCUUUGGCCCCAGCGAAUUAAUACUUAUUUGUUCCCCUCGGUUUAAUUUCUUAGGACUAUGGUGCUGGUCCUAUGUAAAAGCAGAUGGUCUCAGACUAAUAAAUGUAUGGCCUCUUCAGUUGGGGAGCUCAGUAGCUUCUUUGCAAUACAGCAAAGUCAAAGAAUCUUAAUUAUAAAAUUAUCUAAAAACGUCUAAAGAUGUUUUUAAUCAUUCAAUGACUAAUGGAAAAGAUACGCCAUAUUAUUUAUAGCUGAAACACUUCUGAAAAGAUGGAAUUUGGGCGACAAAGUUUUUAGAGCAGUGACCCAACAUGUCAAAUUCCCUAAUAACAAAUUCAAAGGAGCAGUUCCUAUUUACCCAUAUUGGAACUUAAUUAUAUGUUGACACGUGGCACUGGUUUGAACAUCUUUUUGAUCUGCAAAAAUGUUUGAUUUAAUGGGAAUUCAAAUAGAAAGUAGAUCUUAACCUUUUCAUGCAUGUCUUCAUUAUGAUGAAUUAAGCCUGUUUACCAAUGAAAUAUACUGCAAGAUGGGAGAGACAUGAAUGAAAGGUUUGAUGUAACAUGUAGUCGGUUAAAUUUUUACUCUGAGAAUAUUACAUUAAUUUUAUUUUGGUCAUUAUCAUUGCUCGUGAUGGCUGACACUUUGAGCUACCAAUUAACCUGGAUUCCCAAAUACCCUUGGUCUGGUUUGUAAGUACGCCUGUAACCACAGAGCCCAGCAUUUGCUAGAGAAGAUUUACACACAAACACGAGGCUCACAUCUCAUUAAGUAUAAACAUUUUCAGGAAAAAAAAUGGUUUGUGACUUUGUUUCUUUAAAGUUUCUUUUUAUGUAGAAAAGUGAUAGGAGUCUUUAUUUGGGGAACUAGCUAUAAUUAAACAAAAUUGAAUCUUCUGCGGUGACACCACCAUCUUCCUGGCUGGUAAGAACACAUUGACUUUUCAUUUACUUCUGUUUGCAUGGUUCAUUUCCAGCUAACACAGCGUCUUUGAAAUGCUAGCAUUUGCUUUUUGUUUUCUGGUGUUUUGUCUAAGCAAACUAAACUUAUAUGGGUGCCAA
Molecule: long non-coding RNA, 2685 nt
Organism: Myotis davidii
Lineage: Eukaryota; Metazoa; Chordata; Mammalia; Chiroptera; Vespertilionidae
Exons: 2
Source: RefSeq, a predicted model, not a curated record